GACGAACGCUGGCGGCGUGCCUAAUACAUGCAAGUUGAGCGAUGAAGCUUGGUGCUUGCACCAAUUUGAAGAGCAGCGAACGGGUGAGUAACGCGUGGGGAAUCUGCCUUUGAGCGGGGGACAACAUUUGGAAACGAAUGCUAAUACCGCAUAACAACUUUAAACAUAAGUUUUAAGUUUGAAAGAUGCAAUUGCAUCACUCAAAGAUGAUCCCGCGUUGUAUUAGCUAGUUGGUGAGGUAAAGGCUCACCAAGGCGAUGAUACAUAGCCGACCUGAGAGGGUGAUCGGCCACAGUGGGACUGGGACACGGCCCAAACUCCUACGGGAGGCAGCAGUAGGGAAUCUUCGGCAAUGGACGAAAGUCUGGCCGAGCAACGCCGCGUGAGUGAAGAAGGUUUUCGGAUCGUAAAACUCUGUUGGUAGAGAAGAACGUUGGUGAGAGUGGAAAGCUCAUCAAGUGACGGUAACUACCCAGAAAGGGACGGCUAACUACGUG
This 497-nucleotide ribosomal RNA is filed under the name uncultured bacterium. RNAcentral's name for it is "partial 16S ribosomal RNA". It matches the Rfam family "Bacterial small subunit ribosomal RNA", at positions 28 to 507 of the family's 1533-position model. The record is from RNAcentral.